CCUACGGGUGGCUGCAGUGGGGAAUAUUGGACAAUGGGGGGAACCCUGAUCCAGCCAUGCCGCGUGUGUGAAGAAGGCCCUCGGGUUGUAAAGCACUUUCAGUGAGGAAGAACGCCUGGUGGUUAAUACCCAUCAGGAAAGACAUCACUCACAGAAGAAGCACCGGCUAACUCCGUGCCAGCAGCCGCGGUAACACGGAGGGUGCGAGCGUUAAUCGGAAUUACUGGGCGUAAAGCGCGCGUAGGUGGCUUGAUAAGCCGGUUGUGAAAGCCCCGGGCUCAACCUGGGAACGGCAUCCGGAACUGUCAAGCUAGAGUGCAGGAGAGGAAGGUAGAAUUCCCGGUGUAGCGGUGAAAUGCGUAGAGAUCGGGAGGAAUACCAGUGGCGAAGGCGGCCUUCUGGACUGACACUGACACUGAGGUGCGAAAGCGUGGGUAGCAAACAGGAUUAGAUACCCCGGUAGUC
Molecule: ribosomal RNA, 465 nt
Filed under: Vreelandella stevensii
Lineage: Bacteria; Pseudomonadati; Pseudomonadota; Gammaproteobacteria; Oceanospirillales; Halomonadaceae
Description: partial 16S ribosomal RNA
Rfam family: Bacterial small subunit ribosomal RNA
Source: RNAcentral